RNAcentral lists this long non-coding RNA (625 nucleotides) under Ornithorhynchus anatinus (platypus). Its description in RNAcentral is "lncRNA (ENSOANG00000048518.1)". The record is from RNAcentral. Lineage: Eukaryota; Metazoa; Chordata; Mammalia; Monotremata; Ornithorhynchidae.
AAGAGGGAAUACGUGUCCGACCUGAUUAUACAGUGCUUGGCACAUGGUGAACGUGCGGGAAGGCCGUGGCUGGCCCCUUGGUUGCAGAUGAAUCCGUAGACUAGCCCAAGAAGCCCCUGAGAAGCCGGUCCAGGCGCUGCUGCUUCUGGGGACUGACUGGACCCCUACUUUGUCCAAAACCCUGGACUGGGCACCUGCUCCUGACUUUGCUGACUCAGUACUCCUCUGGUUUUCCUCCUGUCUCUCCAACUGCUCCUUCUCCGUCUCCUCUGCUGGUUCCCCUUCCCACUCUCAUCUCGUCAUUAGAAAAGCAGCAUCGCCAUAGCGGGCCUGGGAGUUAGAGGACCUGAAUUCUAAUCCCGGCUCUGCCACUCUCCGGCUGUUCUUGCCCUCGGGCAAGGCAAAUCAGUUAACUUCUCUGGGCCGCCGCUUCCUCACCUGCAAAACGGGGAUUCGGUAGCUAUUCUCCCUCAAACUCAACAUAUCCACAACUGAACUUCUCAUCUUCUCUCCUAAACCCUCCCCCUCCCUCAGCUUCCCAACCUUGACAUAUUUCCUGAAUCCGAAGCUCUCAACCUGAGCAUCAUCCUUGAGGUGUCUCUGUCAUUCUGUUCUUGCAUCUAAU